Molecule: long non-coding RNA, 774 nt
Organism: Daphnia pulex (common water flea)
Lineage: Eukaryota; Metazoa; Arthropoda; Branchiopoda; Diplostraca; Daphniidae
Exons: 6
Source: RefSeq, a predicted model, not a curated record
CUUUUAUUAAAAAUCUUCAUUCUGCUGAAUGCAUCAUACAGUUAAUACAGUUUCUAUUGAUCUCGGUAGGUCACUACCCCAGUGUGGACAUGUUUGUUUUUCUGAACAUGUUUUUCAGCAAAUAAUUCAUUGACGUACAAGGAAAGCUAUGAAAAAUAUCAUCAUCUAGGCCAUGGGUAAUCUUCAGGUUUAUUGCAGCAGCUUAAGAGAAAAAUGUGAACAUAUGCAGGGCACAUACCAACAUGUGUUGUAUUUUUCUGAAUGUUAAACACAAGCAGUACUAAGAUUCAACAUGACUAACUGUUUGAUGCCAAAGUUAGUUGGAACUCAACUCACUGUACAUACUCUAACACAGAUAACUGGUGCUGUUGCCUUUCAGCCACUGGCAGGAAAAUUAUUCUUUACUUCAGAAAAUUGGAAAGCUGCUGGAGUAAUCUGGUGUUCAUGCUCAUUUGAUUCAUUUCGUGCCACUUAGUGAAAGCCGAAAGGCAUGUCGAAUUCAAUUGAGCCGUGCUGUCUCGAAGCAAGCAAUCCAGCCGUUGCGUUCAGUCAUUUGGAACAGGAAUCUAAUGGCUGUCAAAAGGUGGCUGACUGGCUGUGAAUAAUGUCCACCAGGUGCGCGAGUGUCUUCAGGGGCGAAUAGCGGCCAUUUUUUCCCAAGACGCAGCAGAAAUGGGUUGUUGGUUGUGACGUUCCUCGCGAUGAAAAUUAAAAGGUGAUUCAGCACGUAGAAACCAAUUUGCCAAAUCAUUCAACUCAGACUUGGAAGUGCCU